RNAcentral lists this ribosomal RNA (837 nucleotides) under Streptococcus pneumoniae. RNAcentral describes it as "bacterial SSU rRNA". It matches the Rfam family "Bacterial small subunit ribosomal RNA", at positions 692 to 1528 of the family's 1533-position model. The record is from RNAcentral. Lineage: Bacteria; Bacillati; Bacillota; Bacilli; Lactobacillales; Streptococcaceae.
AGAGAUCUGGAGGAAUACCGAUGGCGAAGGCAGCCUUCUGGCAUCAUACUGACACUGAGGCUCGAAAGCGUGGGUAGCAAACAGGAUUAGAUACCCUGGUAGUCCACGCCGUAAACGAUGUCUACUAGUCGUUGGGUCCCUUGAGGACUUAGUGACGCAGCUAACGCAAUAAGUAGACCGCCUGGGGAGUACGGCCGCAAGGUUAAAACUCAAAUGAAUUGACGGGGGCCCGCACAAGCGGUGGAGCAUGUGGUUUAAUUCGAUGCAACGCGAAGAACCUUACCUGGUCUUGACAUAUCUAGAAUCCUGCAGAGAUGCGGGAGUGCCUUCGGGAAUUAGAAUACAGGUGCUGCAUGGCUGUCGUCAGCUCGUGUCGUGAGAUGUUGGGUUAAGUCCCGCAACGAGCGCAACCCUUGUCCUUAGUUACCAGCGGGUUAAGCCGGGAACUCUAAGGAUACUGCCAGUGACAAACUGGAGGAAGGCGGGGACGACGUCAAGUCAUCAUGGCCCUUACGACCAGGGCUACACACGUGCUACAAUGGUAGGUACAGAGGGCAGCUACACAGCGAUGUGAUGCGAAUCUCAAAAAGCCUAUCGUAGUCCAGAUUGGAGUCUGCAACUCGACUCCAUGAAGUAGGAAUCGCUAGUAAUCGCGGAUCAGAAUGCCGCGGUGAAUACGUUCCCGGGCCUUGUACACACCGCCCGUCACACCAUGGGAGUUGAUUGCACCAGAAGUGGUUAGCCUAACCGUAAGGAAGGCGAUCACCACGGUGUGGUUGAUGACUGGGGUGAAGUCGUAACAAGGUAGCCGUAGGGGAACCUGCGGCUGGAUCACCU